This 2340-nucleotide long non-coding RNA is filed under the name Homo sapiens (human). RNAcentral describes it as "non-protein coding lnc-EGR2-5:1". Lineage: Eukaryota; Metazoa; Chordata; Mammalia; Primates; Hominidae. The record is from RNAcentral.
AUGCAUUUGAGUAUGAUUCAUAUAGAAUUCAGUAGUAAAGUCAUUAGAUCCUGGACUUUUCUUUGGAAAAGAAAUGGGAAAAGAUGCAAGGUUUUUGUUUCUUUUUUUUUUUUUUUUUUUGGCUCUGUCACCCAGGCUGGUGUGCGGUGGCUCAGUCUUGGCUCACUGCAGUCUUCGCCUCUCUGGCCCAAGCAAUUCUCCUGCCUCAACCUCCAAGUAGCUGGGACUACAGGCAUGCACAACCAUACAUUUUGUAUGUUUUGUAGAGGCAGGGUUUCACCAUGUUGGCCAGGCUGGUCUUGAACUCCUGGGCUCAAGUGAUCCACCUUCUUUGUCCUUUCAAAGUGUUGGGAUUACAGGUUUGAGCCACCAUGCCUGGCUGGGAGAUUUUUAAUUAAGGCUUUGAUUCCAUUAUUUGUUACUGGUUUGUUGAGGUUUUCUUUUCUUUCCUGGUUCAAUUUUGGUAGGUUGUGUGUCCAUGAAUUUAUCCAUUUUUCUGGGUUUUUCAAUUUGUUAGCUUGUAUAGUUGUUGAUAGUAGUCUCUAAUGAGUCUUUGUAUUUCUGAGGUCUCAGCUAUAUCUUUUUUUUCCAUUUCUAAUUUAUUUGGGUCUUCUCCUUUUUUUCCUCAGUCUAGCUAAAUAUUUAUUGAUUUUAUCUAUCUUUUCAAAAUCCAGCUUUUCAUUUUUUUAAAAUUUUCUUCUGUUUUUUGUUUUUUUGUUUUUGUUUUUGUUUUUUUUGUCUCAGUUUAUUUCCGUUCUCACUUUUAUUAUGUCCCUCUUACUACUAAUUUUGGAUUUAGUUUGUUCUUUUGUAGUUCCUUGGAGUGCAUUGUUGCGUUGUAUAUUUGAAGUCUACUUUUUAAAUAUAGAUGUUUAUUGCUGUAAACUUUCCUCUUAGUAUCGCUUUUGCCAAAUCCCGUAGAUUUUGUGUUUGGUUUUCAUUUUUUUCAAGAAAUUAAAAAAAAUUUAAUUAAGUUUCUUUAUUGACCUAUUCGUUGUUCAGGAGCAUGUUGUUUAAUUUCCAUGUAUUUGUGUGUUUUCAGAGGUUUCCCUUGCUACUGAUUUCUAGGUUUAUUCUGUUGUGGUCAGAAAAGACAGUUUGCCGUAUGAUUUUCGCUUUUUUGAAUUUGUUGAGGCUUGUUUCAUGGCAUUGUAUUGUCUGUGUAUUUGAUUUUACCAGUAGCUUUUAUAUUUUUAAAUAUUUUCUUUUUUGUACAUUAUUUGUUUUUCUUUCUGAUUGAAGAACUUAUAUCUUACAUUCCUGUAAGAUGAGUCUGGUGGUGAUAAAUUCUCUCAGGUUUUGUUUCUUAGGAAAAAAAAAUUCUCUCUCCAUUUUAUUUGAAGUAUAGCUUUGCUAGAGACAGUAUUCUUGCAUGUCAGUGUUUUUGUUUUGUUUUGUUUUUUAUUUUUAUUUUCAUCACUUUGAAAAUGUUGUCGCCCUCCCUUCUUACCUGUAUGAUUUCCAUUGAGAAGUCUGUUGGGAGCCAAAUUGAAUCUCUAUGUUUUUACUUUUCUCAUGCUUCUUUUAGGAUCCUCUCUUCGUUUUUGACCUUUUGAGAGUCUGAUUAUUAUAUAUGCCUUGGGGUAGUCUUAUUUGGGUCACAUCUGUUUGGUAUGUCUGACCUUCCUUUACCUGGAUUUUAUCUCCUUCUCAAGUUUUGAAAAGUUUUCUGUUAUUAUUGCUUUCCACUUUCUGCUGUUUCUCCACUUCCUCUUAAAUACCAAUAAUUCUUAGAUUUGGUCUUUUUAGGUAAUUUUGUAUAUGUCUUUUAGGUUAUCUUCAUUUCUUUUCAUUGUUGUUUUUUUCUUCUCUGACAGGAUUCUUAAAUAGCCUAUCUUUGAGCUCACUGAUUCUUUCCUCUCUUCAUUCUGUUGUUGAAAGUCUCUGAUAUGUUUGCAUGUGUCCCCACCCAAAUCUCAUCUUGAAUUGUAACUCCCACAGUUCCCACAUGUCCUGGGAGGGUCCCAGUGGGAGGUGAUUGAAUCACUGGAGUGUGUCUGUUCUUGUGAUAGUGAAUAAGUCUCACGAGAUCUGAUGGCUUUAAAGAGAGGAGUUCCCGGCCGGGCUGGUGGCUCACGCCUGUAAUCCCAGCACUUUGGGAGGCCAAGGCAGGAGGAUCACCUGAGGUCAAGAGUUCGAGACCAGCCUGGCCAACAUGGUGAAACCUCCUCUCUACUAAAAAUACAAAAAUUAGCCAGGCGUGGUGGCAGGUGCCUGUAAUCCCAGCUACUUGGGAGGCUGAGGCAGGAGAAUUGCUUGAACCUGGGAGGCAGAGAUUGCAGUGAGCUGAGAUCCCGCCACUGCAGUCCAGCCUGGGGGACAAGAGCAAGACUUCAUCUC